UAGUCCACGCAGUAAACGAUGAGUGCUAAUCGUCGGGAUCUUGUGUCUCGGUGGUGAAGCUAACGCGUUAAGCACUCCGCCUGGGGAGUACGGCCGCAAGGCUAAAACUCAAAGGAUUUGACGGGGACCCGCACAAGCAGUGGAGCAUGUGGUUUAAUUCGAUGCAACGCGAGAAACCUUACCAGCCCUUGUAUCCUAGUCGCGAUUUCCAGAGAUGGAUUUCUUCAGUUCGGCUGGACUAGUGACAGGUGUUGCAUGGCUGUCGUCAGCUCGUGUCGUGAGAUGUUAGGUUAAGUCCUUCAACGAGCGCAACCCUCAUCCUUAUUUGCCAUCGGGUUAUGCCGGGAACUAUAAGGAAACUGCCAACGACAAGUUGGAGGAAGGUGGGGAUGAUGUCAAGUCAUCAUGGCCCUUAUGGGCUGGGCUACACACAUGCUACAAUGGCGACUACAACGGGCUAGCAAAGGAGCAAUCCGGAGCCAAUCCUUCAAAAGUCGU
RNAcentral lists this ribosomal RNA (498 nucleotides) under uncultured bacterium. Its description in RNAcentral is "bacterial SSU rRNA". It matches the Rfam family "Bacterial small subunit ribosomal RNA", at positions 791 to 1286 of the family's 1533-position model. The record is from RNAcentral.